GGGCGGUGAUGGGCUUGAGCGUUCUCGAAUGUCACGGUAUGUUUCUCGUUUUAUUCCGCUUUACACGCGAAAGGUCGUAGGUUCAAGUCCUAUACCGCCCACCA
RNAcentral lists this transfer RNA (104 nucleotides) under Deinococcus sp. QL22. RNAcentral describes it as "tRNA-OTHER". Lineage: Bacteria; Thermotogati; Deinococcota; Deinococci; Deinococcales; Deinococcaceae. The record is from RNAcentral.